CGUAAAGCGUCCGCAGGCGGCCUUCAAGUCUGCUGUUAAAAAGUGGAGCUUAACUCCAUCAUGGCAGUGGAAACUGUUGGGCUUGAGUGUGGUAGGGGCAGAGGGAAUUCCCGGUGUAGCGGUGAAAUGCGUAGAUAUCGGGAAGAACACCAGUGGCGAAGGCGCUCUGCUGGGCCAUCACUGACGCUCAUGGACGAAAGCCAGGGGAGCGAAAGGGAUUAGAUACCCCUGUAGUCCUGGCCGUAAACGAUGAACACUAGGUGUCGGGGGAAUCGACCCCCUCGGUGUCGUAGCCAACGCGUUAAGUGUUCCGCCUGGGGAGUACGCACGCAAGUGUGAAACUCAAAGGAAUUGACGGGGGCCCGCACAAGCGGUGGAGUAUGUGGUUUAAUUCGAUGCAACGCGAAGAACCUUACCAACACUUGACAUGUUCGUCGCGAGACUAAGAGAUUAGUCUUUUCAGUUCGGCUGGACGAAACACAGGUGCUGCAUGGCU
Molecule: ribosomal RNA, 496 nt
Filed under: uncultured Prochlorococcus sp.
Lineage: Bacteria; Bacillati; Cyanobacteriota; Cyanophyceae; Synechococcales; Prochlorococcaceae
Description: bacterial SSU rRNA
Rfam family: Bacterial small subunit ribosomal RNA
Source: RNAcentral